AAACUAUCACUGAUACUGCUGGCAGUGUAUGAUAUAGCUCUCUUUGCUUUGUAUUUCUCAACAGGGUUAACUCGUAAUUACUAGGUAAACACAUCAGAGGCACAUCCAACACAAAUGGACAAAACUACUGGGUUCAAGGAGAGCGCUGGUCUACAGCACCCUCAGAAAUGAUUGCUGUUUGAAGUAUAUAUCCACUGAGCUGUUCAGAGGAUCUGCAGAAAAUUGAAGUGGAGGUUCAAGAGUCAAAGAGCUCUGAUUACAGACGGUCCCCAAGAAAGAUGGCAUGAGAAGAAGUCUGCAUUUUUCUUAAAAACACCAGAAUUGUAAUUAGUUUCAUUUCCUUAGCUCAACAGCUAGCAUUUGAUCUCUGAUAAAACCUCUAGUUAUUAUUUACCAUGCUGGGUUAAAGCAAAUUGCUUGGAUUUAAUUCUAUAUAUACUCACUGUCUUCAUAUAAUUGAAUGAAAAGUCAGUAAGGGAAUAUUUAUAAUCUGUAAGUGAUACCUAAUUAACAACAAAAGCUCUUGUCAAGAUAAUCACCAGGGGGUUUUCAAAC
Long non-coding RNA from Lagopus leucura (white-tailed ptarmigan), 555 nucleotides. RefSeq lists it as uncharacterized. The transcript is spliced from 3 exons. The record is from RefSeq and is a predicted model, not a curated record. Lineage: Eukaryota; Metazoa; Chordata; Aves; Galliformes; Phasianidae.